GAGUCGAGUUGCAAGACUCCAAUCCGGACUACGACGCACUUUAUGAGGUCCGCUUGCUCUCGCGAGGUCGCUUCUCUUUGUAUGCGCCAUUGUAGCACGUGUGUAACCCUGGUCGUAAGGGCCAUGAUGACUUGACGUCAUCCCCACCUUCCUCCAAUUUAUCACUGGCAGUCUCCUUUGAGUUCCCGGCCGGACCGCUGGCAACAAAGGAUAAGGGUUGCGCUCGUUGCGGGACUUAANCCAACAUUUCACAACACGAGCUGACGACAAGCCAUGCAAGCAACUGUCUCACAA
This 294-nucleotide ribosomal RNA is filed under the name uncultured bacterium. RNAcentral's name for it is "partial 16S ribosomal RNA". The record is from RNAcentral.